UUGCUCCUGGAAACAGAAAUCCCCAAUCAGCAGAACUUUUACAGCAUAAGCAGUGGCAAUGCAUGUUUCCUACAGUGCCCUGCCAAAGUAUCACAACCCUGACCUGGGGAGACCACCUUUAGGCCUGAGAGUGUAGCUUAAGCUCCAGGCUCAUUCACAGCCUGGU
Molecule: small RNA, 166 nt
Filed under: Chelonoidis abingdonii (Abingdon island giant tortoise)
Lineage: Eukaryota; Metazoa; Chordata; Testudines; Testudinidae
Description: TUC338 (ENSCABG00000018207.1)
Source: RNAcentral